RNAcentral lists this long non-coding RNA (779 nucleotides) under Arabidopsis lyrata. RNAcentral's name for it is "long non-coding RNA (ALYR_LNC002605)". The record is from RNAcentral. Lineage: Eukaryota; Viridiplantae; Streptophyta; Magnoliopsida; Brassicales; Brassicaceae.
GAGCUAUUCUCUCUCGUGAAGGCGAUUUUCUAGAUCUAGAUCUAGUUUCUCCGGUGAAUCUGGUUUAAUCGAAGGUGAAGGUUUCUCGAAGGUGGUCCAGGAGUGAGUCGUCUUAUCUCUCCGACAACAGUGGCGUGGUGUCUCCUGCUGAUGUGGAUGUGGCUCUGGAAGGGCGGAGGAGGAGUGUUGAUGCAGUUGCCUCUCGGUUAGGGACGCUGGGAGUUGUGUCGGUGCUCCUCAGGCUCAACCGCCGGCCCAUAUGCUGCGUCCACGGCGGAAGUUGGCGAGAGGUAAAGUGGGUUUUGUGUUGUGUUGACAGGUGGCUAGCGGAGGAUCUUUGAUCUUUGAUGGCUGAUGCGGGGGUCGGAUUUAAAGGUACAGGGUGAGCCACCGUCCUUUAGAUCCGCAGGAUCGGGUGUGCCGACUGUCCGGAUCGAGGCUUGACAUCUCAGGGAUUCUGGAUUUUCACGGAGAUGGAAGAGCGAGGAUAUCCCCAAGCGUGACGGGUUGCUAGGUCGGGAUUCGUCGCCGUCGAACCGUCUCGUCGGAGACACUAACUUUCUGGGAGGUUUGUGGCGGGUUGGUUCAUCGGAGGAAAAGGAGGGCUGUCGGAAACCGAAAUCUUCCACCGGCAAUCUUAUUCCUCUGAUGCGGCCACGAAGUUGUGAGCCUUGAUUUCGCCAGAUCUAAGGUUUGGUGUCUCUGCGAACGAUGAUCAACAGGGGCCGAGUCGUUCUGGUUUUUCCGGCGAAUUUCCGACGUUCCUAUUUUGUAACUGG